This 212-nucleotide ribosomal RNA is filed under the name uncultured bacterium. RNAcentral describes it as "partial 16S ribosomal RNA". It matches the Rfam family "Bacterial small subunit ribosomal RNA", at positions 524 to 732 of the family's 1533-position model. The record is from RNAcentral.
UACGUAGGGUGCAAGCGUUGUCCGGAAUUAUUGGGCGUAAAGAGCUCGUAGGCGGUCUGUCGCGUCGGCUGUGAAAUCCCGAGGCUCAACCUCGGGUCUGCAGUCGAUACGGCAACAAUAGAGUGUUGCAGGGGGAGACUGGAAUUCCUGGUGUAGCGGUGAAAUGCGCAGAUAUCAGGAGGAACACCGGGUGGCGAAGGCGGGGUCUCUGG